RNAcentral lists this small RNA (232 nucleotides) under Jaculus jaculus (lesser Egyptian jerboa). Its description in RNAcentral is "7SK RNA (ENSJJAG00000005879.1)". The stretch from base 4 to 184 matches the Rfam family "7SK RNA". Rfam says of the family: 7SK was discovered as an abundant small nuclear RNA in the mid-70s but a possible function has only recently been suggested. Two independent studies have found that 7SK RNA binds the CDK9/cyclin T complex (known as elongation factor P-TEFb). P-TEFb activates transcription by phosphorylating the C-terminal domain of RNA polymerase II. The record is from RNAcentral. Lineage: Eukaryota; Metazoa; Chordata; Mammalia; Rodentia; Dipodidae.
CUACUGUGGGGCGAUCUGCCUGCAACAUCUGUUGCCCACUUGAGCAUCAGGGUUUGUUUGGCCCAUCUGGCUGGCUAGGCAGGUGUCUCCUUCCCUCAGUGUUCGAAGUACGUCCCUCCUGAAGAUUCAUACUUGGUCAACAGGAUGACUUCCUCAGCAGAAGAGGACCAUUUUUUUCUUGUCGUUGUUGUUUGUUUUUUAAUGACAGAGAGCUAGAGAGAUGGCUUAGCAG